CCAGUUCAACCUUCUACAACUCCUGACUUAUUAUCGUUGUCAAUGUCCAACAUUUGGUCCAAAUGAUUCACGUCCCGUAUCGAAUAUUUCACCUACUGCGAACAACAACAACAACUACCCAGUAUAGUCCCACAAAGUGGGGUUUGGGGAGGGUAAUAUGUAGACGGGCCUUACCCUUACCCGAAAGGGCAGAGAGGAUGUACCUUGGUGUAUGCUACCUUGGUGUAGCAUACACCUACUGCGAACUUGUCUCCUUAUAAUCUACCCAUCGCACUUUGAAAAAGUAUUCAAUUCAUUCUUAACCCCAAUUCCCAUUAUAUUGGUUUGGAGUUAUCAUAGUUUAUUAUCGCCCCGUUAUGCUUUUGUGUUCUCUAUUUCUAUCUCUAAGUCCAUAGGUGAAGCUCUAUCAAACCCUGGAUGGCGACAUGCUAUGAUUGAAAAAAAUAUAUGCUUUACAUGCUAGUGAUACUUGGGAGCUUGUUGCGCUACUUCCAGGUAAAUCUACUGUUGGCUGUCAGCGAGUGUAUGCAGUCAAAGUUGGUCCAGACGAUAAAAUUGAUCGCCUUAAAGGCCACUUUGUUGAAAAAGAUUUUACUCAGAUAUUUGGGCUUGAUUACAGUGUUACUUUCUAUUUCAUGGCUAAAAUAACAUUUAUUCGCCUUUUUCUAUCUAUGGCUGCUGUUUGUCAUUGGCCUCUCUCUAUCAAUUGGACAUUAAGAAUGUUUUUACGACCUUGAGGAUGGAGUUUAUAUGGAGCAACUACCUAGUUUUGUUGCUCAGGGAGAGUCUAUUGCCCUUGUUUGUCGGUUGUGCCGGUCGCUCUAUGGUCUAAAACAGUCUCCUCGAGCUUGGCUUGGUAAGUUCUACACUUGUUCGGAAAUUUGGCAUGACUUGUAUUGAAGCUGAUCACUCUGUGUUUUACGGGCAUUCUGCUUCAAAUUUGUUUAGUUAUUUAGUGGUUUAUGCUGGCGAUGCCGUUAUUACCGGUAAUGAUCUGGAUGGUAUCACUAGUUUGAAACAUCUCUUUUAACACUUCCAGACAAAGGAUAUAGACAACUAGAAGUAUUUUCUAGGUAUUGAGGUCGCUUAGUGUUGCUUAGGUGUUAUUAUCUCACAGUGGAAGUAUGCUUUGGACAUUCUUAUGAAGACAGUAAUGACAAGUUGUAGACCCAUUGACACUCUUAUGGAUUCAAAUGCUAAACUUCUGCCGGGACAUGCUUCCUCUUAGUGAUCCUAAAAGAUACAAGAGGUUGGUUGAUAAGUUAAAUUAUUUCGUAGUGAAUAGAUCUGACAUUUUCUUUCAUGGGAGUGGUGUUGUAAGUCAGUGUAUGGAGUCUCCCUGUGAUAGUCAUCGGGAUGCAGUUAUCCGAAUUCUUCGUUAUGUGAAACCAGCCCUAGGCAAAGUAGCAUUGUUCGAGGAUCGAGGUAAUGAGUAGUUGGAUACACAGAUGCUAAUUAGGCAGGAUCAACUUCUGAUAGACGUUCUACGCCCUGAUAUUGUGUUCUAAUAGGAGGUAAUUUAGUGUCCUGAAAGAGUAAGAAACAAAAUGUGGUUGCUCGAUCUAAUGUAGAAGUAGAAUGUCGAGCAAUGACUCUGGCAACGUGUGAGCUAGUUUGGAUCAAACAUAUGCUCAAAGAAUUGAAGUUUGAAAAAAAAAGUUAGGUGAAACUUGUGCGUGAUAAUCAAGCACCUUCAUAUUGCAGCAAAUAUGGUGUUCUAUGGAGGACUAAACACAUUUAGAUUGACUGCCACUUAAUAAGAGAAAACACGUAAGUGAGUAAGCAAAUUUCCAUACUCGUUCUCGUAGAUACAUAUAGAAUUCUACGAAAAUUCGUAUUUGAUGAAAAUGGUAUCUACGGCUUGGAGGGAGAUCUUUCAUAUCUUUUGAGAUCCACCCACCCCACAAUAUAUGAGGUGAAAAAUCCACAAUAAGUGAUUUUAACCCUUGUAAAAAAGAAAACUGAUUCUUGAACCUCUUUCACGCUCCUGUUAUGUCAAAAUACUGCAAGAAAAAAAUAGCAAAAUGCGAUCCAAUUUAUCGUAAAUUCGUAAUCAAUUAGUUAACAUAUUGGUUAACCAUAUUCUCAAACACGGAAAAAACCAUUGGCUUAUCAAAUUAUCUAUCGAGCCGUGAAAAAGAUUUAACAAAAGACAGAAACAAAUCCACUAUCAGUAUUAUGUCAAGCAAUAUGUGGAGUAACUCCUGAUAUAAUAGUAAAAGCAAGAACGCAUAGGUGGAUCGACUCAUCAAGUUCCCAUUGAAAUAGGAUCCUCACAAGGAAAAGCCUUGCCAUUGCCAUUCGUGGUUAUCAUAGGCAUCCCAAAAAUGUCCGAGUCGAAAUAUGGCUUUCAAAUUAAGUUCCGAAUUAGUGGAUGCUGCUAAAGGGAGUGGCGAUGACAUACAUAAAAAGGAAGAUACUCAUAGUACGGUAGAGACAAAUAGAGCUACGCAAAAAGGAAGAGACUCAGAAUGGCAGAGGCAAAUAGUGCGUUUGCCUAUUUUCGUUAAUCCAUGAACAAGAUCUAUACAUCUCGUUUGGAAAAGUCUAGAGAAAAAGAAAGAAGCGGAAUUGAUCGAUAGUUCUCAAACUCAAAACAAACGAAAGAUGUUUCAGGAGAUAUUGUUACAAAGUUUGUAAAGCCAAAUCAUUAGCUUGCAGAUAUUUUCACCAAGUCCCUCAUUGGUUCUCGUAUUAGUUAUAUCUGUAACAAGCUCGGUACAUAUGACUUACCUGCACCAGUUUGAGGGGAGUGUUUGAGAAAUUAAUGUAUAUAUGAUGCUUAGUCCCACAUUCUAAUAGGAGUAGUAUGUAUUGUGUAGAAUGUAGAUGUAAAAGGGCACCUUGUAUUUUAGAAAAUGAAUGAAUAUUAAUAAUAUUUUCCCAUGCUAUUUCUCACAUCUGAAAACACAAAAUAAUAAGUGGCAUUGUUAACGGAUAGCUUGCCGAGCAGCUGCUGGAAGAAUCUUAAGAAUGUUGGGUUGCCUGAAAUCUGAAUAUUCCUGGAAGAGUACAGUGGAAAAAUGAUUUGGACUGGCCAAAAUAGCAGCAGGUUACUGAGAGAGGUGACUGAAAAAAGGAGCGGUGUUGCUGGUGCGAUCACUGGAAAGAGGUGCUGUGCUGCCAGAACAGUUACAGGAAAGAGACGCUGUACUCUUGGAACAGUUUGGUGCUGUUGGAACAGUUAUCAAUUACAUGCAACAAUAAUCUUUGAAAAGAAAAUUUUCCUUCCAAAGCUACUUAGUCCUCCACCUAGAAACUCUGUUCUAUGUGAGAAAUACUAGUAGAGAAGAAAAGAAAUGUAAUGAUUACAUGAUAAACAUGGAAUACGAGACACCUAUUUAUAAGCGCGAGACAGUAUCAACACAUUAUGUUGAUCCAACGAGGGAUAACUUAAUAGUAACUCUAGUGUUUUCACUUUCACAUACUAACACUUGACAUUUAAUAUACCUAGGAAUAUAUUUAUUGAUUUUUUCGUUUCCUUUGUUUCAAGAAAGUCAAUAGGUUUCAUAUUUUUAUUUUUAGUAUCUUUUCUAGCCUACCCUGUAAUCCGACACUUGUAUGUUGCUAUUGCAUUUGACUCCCUUAGAUAUAGGGGCCUGUGGGUUGAUUGGAUUGCAAGACUGGCUACCAAUGGUCUCAAUGUGUUCAUUUUCAUGGAUUUAGCAAAUUAGUAGGGAGCUUUUGUAUUCUGGAAGCACUUGUCAUGUCUUUACUUCCAACUCUUUUCUCUUCUAUGGUUAUUGCCAUGUUUCGAAAUUAUAACAAUGCUAUACUGCCAUAGUCUCUGAAUAGUUACUUGGUAACAGGCACGACAUACUGUUCUUUUGGGUGGCACGAAUGGUGAUGAUGGGAAUUGAGUUUACUGGGACUGUCCCCUUCUCAAAUGUUUAUCUUCAUGGACUAAUUCGAGACUCUCAAGUGAGUUCAUGCUUUUAAGUUACUUGCUUUGAAUGUAUGUCCUUAAUCUUCUUGCUCAAAUGUUUAUCUUCAUGGACUAAUUCGUGACUCUCAAGUGAGUUCAUGCUUUUAAGUUACUUGCUUUGAAUGUAUGUCCUUAAUCUUCUUGAUCCAAUUUUUCUGGAUAAUUUAUUGACCAUGCUAGUUGAUUUAUUGUUCAGUGCAGUUACUUGUCCUGUAAAUACAAUUCCCUUUUGUUUUGUGCAAAAUGUGCAUCUGGUUGUUGCAAUUUUACAUUUGUCCUAAGCCGAUGCGUUUAGUUAAUUCACAUUUCCCUUCCUGCUCUUCGCUACCGUUUCAGCAUGAAGGUAUGCCUAGUAACAUUGUUUUACUACUUGUAAAGAAGAGCUUCUGCUGUUUCGGAGGAAAGAGAAAAUUAUAUGUUUCCUAGUUCUCGGUGGAAGUGUCCAACUUCUAAAAAAGUUGUUCCAGGCCCUGCAUUGAAGUUAAUAUUUUACAGAUAUCCCUCUUCCUAGUUCUCUGGUGGAAGUGUCCAACUUCUAAAAAAUUUGUUCCAGGCCCUGCAUUGAAGUUAAUAUUUUACAUAUAUCCCCGAACUUCUCGUUGAUUGGUCUUUGGAUUGAUGAGCUCCAAGUAUGCAGUUUUUGUUUAACGUCAUGUAUAUAUUUGUGAUAAUGAGUUCAGAUUUGCUGACAUAAUUGAAUAUGGGUUGAACCUGCGUUAUCUGCAUCUUGAGUUUCCUCCUGGACUAAUCUCAAGCCAUCAUUAGUUAUGGAUUUACAUCUCCAUUUCCAUGCAUCUUUUACUCCAUAUAUUAUAGCUUUAAAAUUGUCAAUACCCUGUUCCAGGGCAGAAAAAUGUCUAAAACAUUGGGGAAUGUCAUAGAUCCCCUCGACACCAUUGCAGAGUAUGGCACAGAUGCUUUGCGCUUCACUCUUGCCUUAGGGACUGCUGGUCAGGUUUGUUAUGAGCUCAUUUUGUCACUAAAUCAUGGAUAUGCAUAUUCCUUUUUCUGCGAUGGUGUCCGCUUUGGAUGUUUUCAUCAGCCAGCUUAUCUCUUUGUUAUAGGAUCUAAAUUGUUUUCUGCGAUGGUGUCCACUUUGGAUGUUUUCAUCAGCCAGCUUAUCUCUUUGUUAUAGGAUCUAAAUUUGUCCAUGGAAAGGUUGAUCUCUAACAAGGCAUUCACCAACAAAUUAUGGAAUGCUGGCAAGUUCAUAUUGCGGAAUUUGCCUCAUCAAGAUGACACUCUUGCUUGGGAAGCUUUAUUGGCCCAUAAGGUUUGUCGAUUUUGGUGUUUAAACCAAAAUAUAUGUUUUAUGACAGUUUGCUUCAAGAUCUGUGGAUCAGAACCAGUAAGGUAACAAUGCAAUACAAAUGUUUGAAAGAGCUGAAAUACUUAUUAAAAAGCAAAAUGCCUGGAAGAACUGAGAUAAGUACUUCAGUAAAUGAAAUGAAAAAAUACACUAAAUCAGAGAUCGUCAAAGUGUCAGAUUGUGUUUGGUGAUUCACAUUGACUAUCAGAUUGAGCUUCAUGACCAGCAUGGGCUUAAAUACUAAAGAGCUUAAUCCUGGUUGUUGACAAAACUCUCAAACACGUCCAAUUUUUUAAUUUACUCUGUUUUGCAGCAUAGGCUGGCAACUCAGAAAAUUUUUGCUGUUAAAUAUUUUGGUAUAUAUGCACGUCUCUCAGUAUUGAAGUCAAGUUCUUCGAGAGUUCUCGAUUCUGCAUGGCAUGCAAAUUCACGUCGUAGAACAUAGUUGGUCCAAAAGAAUUAUGUUCUCACCGAAGCCCAAAUAUUUGGUGUUCAAAUCAAGAUCCUUGGUUUCUAUGUAGAUUCUAAAGUGAGAAACUUUUGAAGUACAAUGAAAUCACUUCAAAAUAUCUUAGAUGGUUAUUCACCGGUGAACUUCAAUGAUCACAUAAUAAAAAGUAGAAGUAAUCCCAAGUUUUUCAAGGGUCCAGAGUUGACUUAUGUUUGAAUUCUGCAUUACUUGCCAAUAAUAUAACAUAUGAAAUGCUUAUAUAUUGCACUAUCUACUGUUUUCUCAGUUUGAUAAAGUGGAGUCAGUGGUGAAGCUCCCACUACCUGAAUGCUGGGUGGUAAGAUGAUGCUUUUGAUCCUUUAUCUGUUGGUAAAUAUGAUGUUCUUGAUCCUCAUUAUGUGCACUAUGGCAUAACGGUCCUGUUUUAUCACUUCUACAUCUUUCAGGUAUCGAAGCUUCAUGUACUUGUUGAUGAAGUCACUGCAAGUUAUGAGAAACUUUUCUUCGGAGAUGUUGGAAGAGAAAUAUAUGACUUCUUUUGGGCUGAUUUUGCUGAUUGGUAUGUUCUUCCUAUUGUUUUAGGUGCUUUUACGUCAUUUUGGUUUCCAUGGUAGUCUUGUAAUUCUUCUGUUUUAAUAAGACAUUAUCCAUAAUGUGAACACUUGACCAUAUAGAAUGGAAAUUAUUUCCAUUGAAUUCAUAUGCAGAAAGAAUGUUAGUCUUGUAAUUCUUCUAUUUUAGUACGACAUUAUCCAAAAUGUACUGGGUCGUACCCAGGGUAGGGGUAAGGCUGCGUACACACUACCCUCCCCAGACACCACUGAGUGGUAUUAUACUGGGUCGUACUUAUUAUCCAAAAUGUGAACUCUUGACCGUCUAGAAUGGAAAUUAUUUCCAUUGAAUUAAUAUGCAGAAAGAAUGAUUUUAUUGGUGGAUGGGAAUUUAAUUUGUAGUUCAUUCUUAUACAUUAUCUAAAAUCUGAAGUGGAGUCUAUUUUUAUUGAAGAGUAAUAUGCAGAAAGAAUGAUGGUGUUGAUAGGCGUGAAAAUUUUAUCUGUAAUUCAUUAUUACGCGCUUGCAUGGUGACCUGCCUUAUUCAUGCUCGAAGAACUAGUUCACUGUGACUAAAACGGAGAUCAUCACCUCCCGACAAAAACUUAAUGAUACGUGUUAGGUAUAUUAAGACGACAACAACAACAAUAACAACGCCCCAGUGAAAUCCCACUAGUGGGGUCUGGGGAGGGUAGUGUGUACGCAAAUCUUACCCCUAUCCCGAAGGAGUAGAGAGGCUGUUUCCGAAAGACCAUUGGCUCAAGAAGACAAAAAGACAAAAGGAGACAAUAUCAUUAACACCACAGAAAUCAUAGGAAAAAUAGGACCAACAUGAAAUGCAGAAGAAAUAUGCAAAGCAAAAGCAAAAUAGUAACACUGCCAAACUAGUCUCACAAAGUUAUGAAGUAAGGCAAGACUCAACUCUCUCCUAACCUACAACCCUAAUACUCGACCUCCACAUUUUCCUAUUUCCUUGGAAAUCUGAAGCCUCAACAUAUCCUGCCUGAUCACCUCUCCAAUACUUCUUAGGCCGUUCUCUACCUCUUCUCGUACCCUCCAUAACCAGCCGUUCACACCUCCUUACCGGAGCAUCUGGCUUCUCCUCUAUACAUGCCAGAGCCAUUUGAGCCUCACUUUCCGCAUCUUGUCAUCAGUGGGAGCUAUGCACACCUUCUCCUGAAUAUAAUCAUUCCUAAUCUUAUCCAUCCUAGUAUGCCUGCACAUUCACCUCAACAUCCUCAUUUUUGCUACCUUCAUCAGCCCCGUACAUCAUGGCCAGUCUACCAUUGCAUUAUGGAACUUACUUUUAAGUAUCAGUGGCACUCUCUUGUCACACAAUACUCCAGAUGCUAACCUCUACUUCAUCCAUCCUACCCUAAUACGGUGUGUGACAUCCUCAUCGAUCUCCUCUCCCCCAGGAUAACCGGCCCAAGGUACUUGAAGCUGCCUCUACUUGGGAUGACAUGUGAUUCAAGCCUCAAAUCCACACCCACAUCUCCCUGCUCAGCGCUGAACUUACACUUCAGGUAUUUUGUCUUCGUCCUGCUAAGCUUGAAACCCUUAGAUUCAAGAGUUGUCUCCAAACCUCCAGCUUCUCGUUAACAUCGGCUCGCGACUCAUCAAUUAGAACUAUGUCAUCGGCGAACCGCAUGCACGUGGCACAUCCCCUUGAAUGUGGUGUGUUAACACGUACAUUUCCAGGGCGAAUAAGAACAGACUGAGCGCAGAACCUUGGUGUAACCCAUAACAACCGGAAGAUCCUCAGAGUCGCCUCCUACUAUUCUAACCCGAGUCUUGGCCCCAUCAUACAUGUCCUUAAUCGCUAUAAUGUAGGGAACCGACACACCUUUUGCCUUCUAGAGAACUUCUCUAGGAACCUUGUCAAACGCUUACUCUAAGUCAAUAACACCAUGUGCCGGUCUUUCUUCCUAUCUCUGUAUUGUUCAACCAAUCUCCUAACAAGACGACCCGGCAUGAAUCCAAUUGGUUGUCGGAAACGGACACCGUCAUCUCACCCUCGCUUCAACCACCUUUUCCCACACUUUCAUAGUAUGACUCAAUAAUUUGAUACCCCUAUAAUUGUUACAACUCUGGAUAUCACCUUUGUUCUUAUACAAUGGGACCACCGUACUCCACCUCCAUCAUCCGGCAUCCACUUCGCCUUAAAAUAACAUUAAACAACCUAGUCAAUCACUCCAAACCUACUCUCCCCACACAAUUCCAAAAUUUCACCGGAAUCUCGUCAGGCCCGAUCGCUCUGCCCCUACUCAUCUUACUCAUAGCUCCCAAGACCUCCUCAACCUUGAUGCGCCUGCAGUACCCAGAGACACCGUGACUCUCAGAAUGCUCCAAUUCACCUAGCACAAUAUCCCGAUUCCCUGCUUCAUUUAGAAGUUUGUGAAAGUAAGUGUAAUCUCCUUUUAAUCUUGGAAUCUUCCAUCAAUACUCUACCGUCGUUGUCCUUAAUGCAUCUCACUUGGUCUAAAUCUCGAUCCUUCCUCUCUCUCAGCUUGGCCAUCCGGAAUAACUUCUUCUCCCUACCUUUUUCCCAGUUCCUCGUACGUACGACCAUAAGCCGCAGUCUUAGCCUCCGUGACCACCACCUUAGCUUGCUUUCUAGCUACCUUAUACCUCUCCAUGCGCGCUCGCCUCUCCUCCUCACCUAUGCUCUCCAAUAACUUCAGGUAUGCCGCCUUUUUCACUUCCACUUUACUUUGUACCACUUCAUUCCAGCACCAGUCUCCUAUGUGCCCACCAGAGACGCCCAUUGAGACCCCUAACACCUCUCGCAGCCUCUCUUAUACAGUCUGCUAUUAUUGACCACAUAAUGCUCGCGUCACCACUACUCCUCCAAACUGCCAUAGCGACAAGCCCCCUCCAACUCUUGGGUUAAGAAUAAAGUUAAAAUACAGUGAUAAGAGGAGUAAGCUUAGCUGUGAAAGGAGGUUAUGAAAAUGUUUACUUCUCCUUCAUCAUGAAACAAGUUUUCUAAAUUCUACCAUGAAAUUGGUGAUGGUAAAGUGAUUUCUGAUGCGUUUCUCUUGAGCAGAAUGUAAGAGCCUCCUCAUUAAUGCUUACCUCGUUUAUCUCUUCUUUGCUUACCCUGACAGGAAGUUCUCUUUCUUUUCCUUGGUGAAGUGGAAUAGGCGAAAUUUAAAAUGUUAAUGAACUUAGAUAAGAAUGAGAUAUCAACGGUAAUAAUAUGCCCAUUGAUGCUCCGUGAAGAUGCAAGCUUUAAUGUCAUGAUAUUUGUGGGUGUAUUGUAUUGGAGGAGUAUUAUUGAAUACAUCUGAGAUUCUAAAACAUAAAAUCUGAUUCUGGACAAUUUUAGUUGCAUCAAUGGCAAGCGUGACAUGGAACCUGUUUGAGGGUUUAAGUGAUAGGUAAUCUACAUUAUGUUUGGUAUACGAGGGAGACAGAUGGGAAGGGGGAGGUUGGCGUGCUUGUUUAUUCCCCAAGGUGAACUAUUGACCUUUUCAUUGGGUAACUUAUAGUAACUGGAGUUGGAAGUUUAGUAAUGUUCAGUUCCUCCUUCCCUUCCUGCUAUAGAGGGGUUGAAAAAGCUGAUGUAGAAGUGUAAUGUUCCUCCACUCCCCUCUUUUUCUUCACUUCUGACCCAAAGAAAAGAAAAAGAACUUACCUGUUUUCAUUUAUUCAUUUCCUUUAAUCCAUCCUAUCUUCAUCCAAACCUUAGCCAAAUAUAGGACAGCUUUAUAAUUUAUCUAUCUCAUCUUCUGUCAAUAAAUCUCUGUCUACUUUAUAAGGUACAUUGAAGUUAGUAAAGCUCGCCUGUAUCACUCCGGAGAUCAUUCUGUUGCAUCUGUAUCACAAGCAGCUCUGCUAUAUAUUUUUGGGAGCAUCCUUAAAUUGCUACAUCCAUUUAUGCCUUUCGUAACUGAAGAGCUCUGGCAGGUGAUGUGAUAUAUCCUUUUACUUUUGUGCUUUGAUCAGUGCCUUUUAUUAUUUUACAUAUGUAUAGUUCAUGCCAAAUCCAAUGUUACAAGAUGAAUGAGGAUUAUGCAAUGGCAUAUUUAUGAGAUCUCGCAAUCUACGGAAAAGAGUUUCUCACUCUGAAAGUCUUAAUAUUAUAGUUGAAUAACAAAAAUAUCCAUAUUGUUUACCUCCUGGUAACUAAAACUUACAUGCAAAUAUGUGGGAUGUAUGGAACAAUCUGAAUUUUAGUUGUUUUACAAUGGUAUAGUUUUUCUUUUUCGGGUUUUUCACUUAAAGAUAAGUGUUUGUUUGAGGUAACAUUAAAGGCAAUGGAGCUAUUUAAAUAUAGAGUAGUCAAAGGUGAAAAGCUUAAACAAGGCUAAAGUUGCUUUACGCGCAUAGCAGAAUUAAAGCAUUGGCUUUUGCAGGAAAAAACGCUACUGAAGAAUACUCAAGUCCCAAGUUAAAAAUGUAAUGCAAGAAAACAUUACUACAAGUAUAAAUUAUACUCCCUCCGUUUCAAAUUAUGUGAACCUAUUUGACUUCGCUUGGAGUUUAAAAAUAAAAAGACAAACUUUUGAAAUUGUGGUGUAAAAUGAGGCACAUAAUAUCUUUGUGUGGCUAUAAAUCAUUGAAGGUAAAUUGUUUUCAAAUAUGGAAAUGGACCAUUCUUUUUGGCACAAACUAAAAAGGAAAUAGGUUCACAUAAAUUGAAACAGAGGGGGUAAUUAUUUGGACAGAAGAAUUGUCAAACUAUACUUAAGUGAAAUAUACAAAAAGAAUCAUGUCAAUCAAGUUCAUUGACCAUUUUAAAUUUCUAACUUAGAUGAAAAUAUGUAGUUUGAACACUGAACUUUUGACUAUUAGUUGUUAGUUUCUUAUACUAAACCUGUAGUUUCUUGUUCCUAAUUACUAACACCUCAAUCGACAUAUUUUCUUAAUGAUUAAUGUAUCACUUGUGAAGUAUAUUUACAAGGUGAAGAGAUGCAUGCGAAGCUCCAAAGCUUAAGCAUGUCUUAGGCGAGGUUUUACCAACACUUGUUAAAUCUCAUUUCUAGAUGUCAGUCAGCCUCUAGCGAAUGCACCCCCACCCAAUCCCACCCUCACUCCCCUAAAAGGAAAAAGAAAAAGAAAAGAGUGGCUUAAAGCUCGCCAAUACUUACUUUUUUCACACAAGGUCACACUAAUUUGUUUAUGAGUUCUAAUGCUGAUCCAUAACUUUGGGUCCUAGUCCACUCAUAGCUGAUUUGAGUCUUCUGGCGUCAUAACAUGCCAACUUAUUACUAUUCUGAUCUAAGUUGGUCAGACACGGUGCUGUUGUCCGAAACUGGUACGGAUCUAGAGGCCAGAUCCUUCGAGAUGUAAAUUCUAAGAUUCGGGGAUACGGAUGAGGAUCUUGCUUACAAUAAUUCAAAGAAACAUAUAAAAAUAUCUCUAAAUUAUGAGAAAUUUUGUCGAAUACUUACGUAUAGCUUGUAAAGUAUAGAUUUCUUUUUUUAUUUUCAAGGUUGUAGAUAAAUAAAUGAUUGAUUUUGCUAGAUAAAGUAUGCUAGUUUCUUCAAAUUUGCCCUAGUUUUGGUUCCGAUUUCGGGAAUUGUAUCUCGUCCUAGUUCUUUUCCCAUGUUAAUUCUAUGUAGUUCUUUAAUAUAGUCAUGCCUGUGAAAGGUCAAGCCCCGGUAAAUCUGCAUUAUCAGUUGAUGAAAUGGUCUGCAAAUAUGUGUUUAAGUAGUAGCGUGGUCUUCCACCUAUUCGGUAUCACCAUAGCUUCUUGUCGUUGAUUUCCUGAAAUGCAUUAAUAUCUUAAUCAGUAGCAGAUCCAAACUAUGACUUAUUUUAUCGAAUUUUCUGUUAGGAGGAUUUGGCUAUUUUCUUGUGUUGUCGAUCUGAUCCCACUGUCAUUUAUAGUACAACAAUAAAAUAAAAUAGACUGCAUAAGUCGUUGUAAAAUAACAGAUGCAAUAUUGUCAAUGUUGAAGCUGAUAUAAAUUUCUGAUUUUGUCCAAAGAUAACAGACAAGAGGGGUUGCUCUGAUGGCAAGCAACCCCCACUUCCAACCGAGAGGUUGUGAGUUCGNNNNNNNNNNNNNNNNNNNNNNNNNNNNNNNNNNNNNNNNNNNNNNNNNNNNNNNNNNNNNNNNNNNNNNNNNNNNNNNNNNNNNNNNNNNNNNNNNNNNNNNNNNNNNNNNNNNNNNNNNNNNNNNNNNNNNNNNNNNNNNNNNNNNNNNNNNNNNNNNNNNNNNNNNNNNNNNNNNNNNNNNNNNNNNNNNNNNNNNNNNNNNNNNNNNNNNNNNNNNNNNNNNNNNNNNNNNNNNNNNNNNNNNNNNNNNNNNNNNNNNNNNNNNNNNNNNNNNNNNNNNNNNNNNNNNNNNNNNNNNNNNNNNNNNNNNNNNNNNNNNNNNNNNNNNNNNNNNNNNNNNNNNNNNNNNNNNNNNNNNNNNNNNNNNNNNNNNNNNNNNNNNNNNNNNNNNNNNNNNNNNNNNNNNNNNNNNNNNNNNNNNNAGUAGGGGUAAGGUCAGCGUACAUACUACCCUCCCCAGACCCCACUAGUGGGAUUAUACUGGGUUGUUGUUGUCCAAAGAUAGCCAAAGUGGAGACAAAGGAUACCCACUUUCAAAUAGAAAUGAAAUAGAAUUUGGGUACUCGUUUGUCUCCAAAUUCAGUUAACAUUGGGAAGAAAUAGAAAUCUAAUAUCAGCUUUAAUGUUGAUGAUACUGGUCAAUUAUUCCACAUAUAUCUCUACAUCAGCUUCUAUUUGGCCUUGGGCCUUCUAGCUGAUGAGGAUGCAAGCAGUAACUUAGCCUGCUGCAAAAUCUGGAAAUCUUAUAUGAUUAUUCAGUUUUGCUUCAAUAGCAAAAUAGCUUAAGAAUACAUGCUGUUCUCAUUGCAGUUUGACUUCUCCCGUUUCUGCAGGCAUUACCCAAUCGACAGGAAGCUCUUAUAGUAUCUGCGUGGCCACCUACUUCACUUCCCAGGGAUAUUGUUUCCAUAAAAAAAUUUGAGAACUUACAGGCAUUGGUGAGUUUGAUUAUCAACUUUUCUUGUCCCAAUUUUUAUUUUAUCUAUAAUUCUAGUUAUCCUGGAUAAUUUAUCCCUUCCAUCAAUUCAGACUAGAGCCAUCAGAAAUGUACGAGCGGAGUAUGCAGUUGAGCCAGCAAAACUUAUUUCUGCAUGUAUUGUUGCAAAUCCAGAUGUCAUUCAGUAUAUCUCUGUAAGAUCUCCACUUUAUUCAUAAACUUCCCUGUGAUGAUAACUUGUGGACUGUGUUCGGAUAGUUAUUCUUUCUGAAAGGUGGUGGCUAUGGUUUUUUGGUAUCAUUUUCCUGUGUUACUAAUCAAACGAACACGAUAAGAUGCAGGAGCGCUUAAAAAUAAUGGACCUUUGAAAUGCAACAAAAUUAAUGAACUUAUCAGUUAAUAUGCGCCUAGUUUCAAAAUGUCUAGAUUCUUUUGAUUUUUGCAGGAGAUGCUGAAGAUUAUCCCAUGACAUUCUAUUAGACAUUGUAGAAUAUUUUGCCUCUACCAUGAAAUAAUUACUUACCAUACUAUUCAUUUUUUGAUUUAAAACAUACCAUAUUAUUCAUAUACUGAGAUCUCAUAUAAGGAGCCUUUGUUGACAUUGUUGAUUGUGAGAAUGCACGAGAGAAACAUUUAUUUAUUUUAACAAUGUUACGAUGAGUCCUAUAUAUAAUACAUAUUCUAUUCCUAUUAUUCUCUGCUUUUGUUUAUUCUCUGAUAUUAUUGUCUCAUCUGUUGAGCCGAGGGUCUCCCGGAAACAGCCUCUCUACCCUUUCGGUGUAAAGGUAAGGUCUGCGUACAUCCUACCCUCCCCAGACCCCACUAGUGGAAUUUUACUGGGUAUGUUAUUGUUGUUGAUUCUACUCCUAUUGCAUAUUGGACUAGCACAUAUUCUACUCCUACUACAUAUAGGACUAGGGCUAUUGACACAUAACUAUCUAACACUCUUUCUCAAGCCAGUGCAUACAAAUCAUAUGUACCGAGCUUGUUACAUAUGUAACUAAUACGAGGACCAGUGAGGGACUUGGUGAAAAUAUUUGCAAGCUGAUCAUUUGACAUACAAGACCACUAGACUCCCCUGAGCAACAAAACUAAGUGGUUGCUGAUAAGUAUAAGUUGGCCGAAAUGUCGCCGGAAAAAUUUGAAAAUAGUGAGACUAAGCCGAAUUCCACACUACAAAAUAGGUUCUAAAACACCACCAGAAAACAAAAGCUUUUCCGAAAAUUACUAUUGACACCGGGAAAAUCACUUUUCAUGCCGGAAAAAGUGCACCAUUCACCGCCGGAAAAAAUUAAAGUUCUUAGAAUUUGAUGUUAUUAGAAAAUUUUCUGGAAAUUACGGUUCACACCGGAAAAUCAUUGUUCACGCUGGAAAAAGUGCAUUGUUCACGUCGGAGAAAAUAAAAGUUGUCAAUCUGAUGUAAUUUGUAUAGGUAGGCGCGAAAUCACUGGACGAGUAAGUUGUCCCGAAAAUGUUUUGUCAAAAAGUGGUCGGAAUGGCUCAUGCACUAGAAAAGUUACUGUAGCUUGUCAGAACCCUAGUUUUGGCGGCACGUGGAGGCGAGUGAUUUUCUGCCGGAGCGAUUGACUGGGGUUUUAUUGUCUGAAUUUUCCGAACAAGAUGGUAGUGUUGGUUUUCGUACAACACUUAUCAAUGAUGAGAUAACACAGAUAAAUCUUGAGUCGUCAAUGGGAAAGACGCACGGUGACUUGCUUUUCUGUUUAGAUGGGAUUGAGAUUUCAGGGGUUUGGUCGCACAAGGGUUUCGGAUCUGAUGGUGGUACUGAUAUUAUGCACAGUACCACUACCACUGUAGCAGUGAUGAACCCGGAGAACAAGACGAAGCUGCUGGAAAAUUGGGAAAAGGCUCGUACUUUGUACACUAAUGACUUAGACCAUUUCUCGAUUUGUAUAUGUCAUCCUUGCGAUAAGCACGUUUCAUUGGCUUCCUAUUACUUUCUUGAGGAUCCUAAAGAAUGUAGUAUGAGGAAGUGAUGUGCACUUAUGUGAUUAGAGGCGGAACUAGAAUUUUAAGUCUGUGGUUUUAAAUUUGCCAGACAGAAAGAUUUAAUGAAUUUCUUAAUACAAAUACAGAGUUUAAGCAAAGAUCAGUGUGUUGGGCUGAACCUGUACCAUAUAGGCAAAAUUAAUUACAUAUAGGGUGUGUUUGGUAUGAAGGAAAAUAUUUUCAUGGAAAAUGAGUGAUUUUUAUCACUUAUUUUCCCUUGUUUGGUUAGUGAGUGAAAAGCUUUUUCCGAAAAAUAUUUUCUAGUAUUUGGUUAGAGAGUAUAAAAUAUUUUUAGGAAAAUAAUUCUAUAUGCUGGGGGGCUCAACCCACCUUCCCCCAAAAUCCCCAUGUUUCAUGUCCUCCUCCCNNNNNNNNNNNNNNNNNNNNNNNNNNNNNNNNNNNNNNNNNNNNNNNNNNNNNNNNNNNNNNNNNNNNNNNNNNNNNNNNNNNNNNNNNNNNNNNNNNNNNNNNNNNNNNNNNNNNNNNNNNNNNNNNNNNNNNNNNNNNNNNNNNNNNGGGGGGCUCUUUCCCUCUCUGGAUUGCUAGUUUCUUCCAUAAUUAGUUAUUCUUUUCAAUCACAUAAAUCCGAAGGAACUAAUGUGCUAGUUUACUUUUUCACACAAGAACAGUGUUGAAAUUUGAGCUCGAUAACCAAAAAGAAAAUAUAUAUUUUUUAUUGAAAAAGAAAUUAUUAUUUCUACAACAUGAAACGAAAUUACUCAAUUUAUUGAAUGAAAGAAAAUCUUUUUCUACAUCAUAAAAAAAAUACUCGUUUUGUUGAAAUGAAAUACUUUUCUACAUCGUGAAAAGAAAAUACUAAUUUUAUUGGGAGAAAAAUACUCUUUCUAUUUCAGGAAAAAAAACUCGUUUUUGUUGAAAUGAAAGAAAAUACUUUUUCUACCUCAUGAAAAAAAAAGUACUCGUUUUGUUGAAGUGAAAGAAAAUAUUUUUUCUACAUCAUGAAAAGAAUAUAUUCGUUUUGUUGUAAUAAAACAAAUUACUCUAUUUACACCAUGAAAAGAAAGUACUCUUAAUAAUAUUUAGGAUGGGAGGUGGGCAAGAUUGGGGUGUGGUGGGGGGGUAGGGGAUGAAUAGAGUGGAGAAGGUUGAAGAAGAAUAUUGGAAAAUAUUUUCCCUUCUUUUGAUAGGGAAAACACUUUAUCCUAUUGGAGGAAAACGAGUUUAUGAGGAAAGUAUUUUCCAAAACAUUUAAGCCAACAAAUUAUGAAAAAUUAGAAAAUAUUUUCCGGAAAAUGUUUUCCUUCGUACCAAACACUCUCAUAGUGUUCACUAUCUGCCUUCUGAGUCAGUGAGGUCAGCUUACCGCACGGCGGCCAUAUUAUAUCAGAUCAGUCACUUCUGUUUGUUCUCAAUUUUGUGCUAUAUUAAAUGCAUUUCUCUUACUAGAAGAAAUUUUUUAUAUGCCUAUGUGGAUAUCAGCACAUGGCUAUCACUUAAUGCAGGGAGAGAGAGAAGUUUUAGCUCUUCUUUCAAGACUGGAUUUGGGAAAUGUCAAUUUUGCAGAAGCUCCCCCAGGUAUGUUAAUACUCAAGUAUCACACGUUGCAAAAGGUUGAUAAACCCCGCAUCGUUAGAUCUCUCUGGUUUAAUGUUCGUUUUAGUUGUAGUUUUAUCUUCAUAUGAGAUGAAUUGCAGGAGAUGCAAAUCAGUCUGUCCACGUUGUUGCUAGUGAAGGUCUAGAAGCUUAUCUUCCUCUAUCAGAUAUGGUGGACAUCUCUGCUGAAGUUCAGCGUCUCUCUAAGCGCCUUGACAAGAUGCAAGCUGAAUAUGAUGGGCUGAUGGCUCGUUUGACUUCUUCAAGUGUGAGUUCUCCAUUUUCUCAUUUUGCCGGAUAAAUAAAUUGAAUGCCAAACUUAAAUUUACUUCAGAAUUCCUUACAUUAAAAAUAAAAAAGGCAACAUGGUACUUAGAGGCAAAUACGCCCACAUAUUGCGAAUAAUAAAUAAAGAUGUCUUCUUUUCCAUUUACUUCAAGAAAUAAAUAUAUCUUACUUUUCCAUUUACUUUAUCGAAGAUAGUUUUAUACUAUUAAUUUGUGUGCAUACAUACCAUUACUUCUAUUUGAUAUGCCAAGAAUGGUGCAACUAGGCAAAGUUUUAUCGUGAACGGAAAUUGGAAUACCUCAGAUGCAAAGUAGGCGUUCUAGUUUUUUUCUGAUAUGUUCAACAUUUCAAAAGGCUCUCCCCGACUGUCGAAACAGUAUAUAGUUAAAAUCUUACAGUAUUAUGUCUUGCUUCUCCAUUUCCACUUUUCUAUGUCACGGACCUUGUAGAGUUGCUAUGUGCAGUUUGUAGAGAAAGCUCCUGAGGAUAUUGUUCGUGGUGUCCGAGAAAAAGCGGCAGAAGCAGAAGAGAAGUUAACUCUAACUAAAAACCGCCUUAAUUUCCUCAAGUCAAAAGUUUUGAUUGCAAAUUAGUUUCAUUCGAACAAUCCUUUGUUGCCGCUUACCCUAGUUCAAACCACUUGAGGCUCAUUACAUUAUUUUUGCUUUUUGCUCGAUAUCAAGAUGAGUAGCCUCUUCCACAAGAACAAGGUGGAGAUCAUCUCGUAAGGCAUUCUUUCAUCUUUCUUCACCUCGACCAGUAAUUCCAUCAAAAGGGUACAGCUUUACUUUAUCUGUGUUGUGCUUCAGUCUAAGAGUAGGGCGUUGAAAAUAAAGCAUCAAGUGGCGGCUUUUACCCAUUUUUCUCAUUAACCCCUAGAAAGAGUUUGGGUGGGGUGGGGUGUGGGGGUUAGAUGAUGUACAGAAUUAUAUUUUUGUGAACAUUUGUCACGUUAGUGAUCAUGAUUGCUAUAUUCCAUGUGUUAGAGUUGACUCCAUUCCAGCUUCACAGAAGCACAAGUUAGUCUUUCCGUCUCUGUUAUGAUUUUUCUAUCUUUUCAAAUCUUGUUUGGUCAUCUUUUGGUUGUAAUUUGUUUUAACUGGCAGUUGAGAUGCUCAUAAUCGUUAGAUGCAUUAAUCAGUCGUUUUUCUUUAUUUCUGUGAAAUCGUUGCUAGAUUUUAUGCAUUAAGACUAACAGGAAUCAAAUGCGAAUCCUUGCUGCGGCAUUUACACGCAGAACUCACAUUGGAGGACAGUGAAGCCUUCUUACUAAAGUUAGUAGUAAUUAGUAGGACUAAUAUUCCUUCCGUUCACUUUUACUUGGCAUGUAUACUAAUAACAAACAACAACAACAAUGACUACCCAGUAAAAUCCUGCAGAGGGGUCUGGGGAGGGUAAUAAGAAUGCAUACCUUAGCCCUACCCCAAUAGGGUAGGGAGGCUGUUUCCGAAAGACCCUCGGCUCAUAGAAAAGGAAGAGAAGAAGACAGAAGGAAGACAAGUCAUUAGUCACUUUAGUAGAAGCCAUAAUAGUAACAGAAACAUAACAACCAAAAGAUGAAUGACAUGCACUAGCAGUAACUAGUAACUAAUGCCCAAUGCUAAGAUAGACGACGAGGAUAGUGUGAAUUCAACAUAAAUUAUAAGUUAUCUAAGAUCAAUCCUAAUUCAACCCCGCCUCAACUCCCGGAGUGAAGUACGCAAAGCACCACAACCCUACCCUACAAUCCUAAUGCUUGCCCUCCAAAUAUUCUUAUCAAGGGCCAUGUCCUCAGAAAUCUGCAAGCGGGCCAUGUCCUGCCUGAUCACCUCUCCCCAGUACUUCUUAGGCCUCCCUUUACCUCUCCUCGUACCCAUCACAGCCAACCUUUCACACCUCCUCACCGGAGCAUCAAGGCUUCUUCUCAGCACAUGCCCGAACCAUCUGAGCCUCGCUUCCCGCAUCUUAUCAUUCGCAUGUGCCACGCCACCUUCUUUUGAAUAUCCUCAUUCCUAAUCUUGUCUAACCUAGUGUGCCCGCACAUCCACCUCAACAUCCUCAUCUCUGCUACCUUCAUCCUCUGAAUAUGGGAGUUCUUAACCGGCCAACACUCUGCCCCAUACAACAUGGCCGAUCUUAUCACAACUCUAUAAAAAUUUACCUUUGAGUAACUGUGGUACUUUCUUGUCACACAAGACUCCCGAGGUAAGCCUCCAUUUCAUGCAGCCCGCCCCUAUACGGUGAGUGACGUCCUCAUCGAUCUCUCCGUCCCCUUGGAUCAUCGACCCAAGAUACUUGAAGCUAUCUCUCUUGGGGAUGACCUGAGAUCCAAGCCUUCUUCCCUCGACUCAACGCUAAACUUGCACUCCAGGUACUUAGUCUUAGACCUGCUCAAUUUGAAACCCUUAGACUUUAGGGUCUGUCUCCAAACCUCCAAUCUCUUGUUAACACCGACCCUCGUCUCAUCAAUUAGAACUAUGUCAUCAGCAAAUAACAUACACCAUGUCACAUCCCCUUUACUAUGGUGUGUCAAUGCAUUCAUCACCAAGGCAAAUAAGAACAGGCUGAGUGCAGAGCCUUGGUGUAAUCCCAUAACCAUCGAACAAUCCUCCGAGUCCCCUCCCACAGUCUUAACCUUAGUCUUAGCUCCAUCAUACAUAUCCUUGAUUGCACUUAUGUAGGCUACCGGCACACCCUUUGCCUCAAGACAUCUCCAGAGCACCUCCCUGGGGACCUUGUCAUACGCUUUCUCCAAGUCAAUAAACACCAUGUCCAGGUCCUUCUUCCUAUCCCUGUAAAGCUCCACCAACCUCCUAAUAAGGUGGAUAGCUUCCGUAGUUGACCGACCCGGUAUGAACCCAAACUGAUUGUCGGAUAUAGACGUCAUCUUCCUCACUCUCGCCUCCACCACCCUCUCCCAGACUUCCAUGGUAUGGCUAAGUAACUUGAUGCCCCUAUAAUUGUUGCAACACUGGACAUCACCUUUGUUCUUGUACAACGGUACCACUGUACUUGACCUCCACUCAUCUGGCAUUCUCUUCGUCCUAAAAAAUUUAUUAAACAACCCUGUCAACCACUCCAAUCCCGCUUUACCCACGCACUUCCAGAACUCAACCGGAAUUUCAUCUGGGCCAGUCGCUCAACCCUGUUCAUCUUGCGCAAAGCCCCUACGACCUCUUCCACCUUAAUGCGCCUGCAAUACCUGAAAUCUCGGCGACUCUCCGAAAGCCCCAAGACCCUAACGCUAUAUCCCGGUCCCCCUCCUCGUUCAAAAGACCAUAGAAGUACGUCUGCCAUCUCUGCUUAAUCUGAGACUCUCCCAUCAAUACUCAACCAUCCUCGUCUUUGAUACACCUAACUUGGUCCAGAUCCCGGGCCUUCCUCUCCCUUGCUUUAGCCAAUCGAAACAAAUUCCUGUGCCCACCUUUCUCCCCAAUUCCUUAUACAGGCGGCUAAACGCUGCAUUCUUAGCCUUCGUGACCGCCAAUUUUGCCUCCUUCCUUGCCACCUUGUACCUCUCUCUAUUCGCUCUCCUUUCCUCCUCGUUUCUGCUCCCUGCCCACUUCGCGUACGCUACCUUCUUUGCCUCCACUUUACCUUGUACUACGUCAUUCUACCACCAAUCACCUUGGUGUCUGCCAAAAAAAUCCUUCGAUAGCCCUAGCACCUCUCAUGCCACCUUUCUCACAUAGUUUGCCGUCGUUGACCACAUAGUGCUCGAGUCCCCACAACUCAUCCAUGCUCCCAUAGCGGCUAACCUCUCAUUCAACUCCUGGGUUUUCUCCUUCGUUAAAGUUCCCCAUCUAAUUCUCGAUCGGCCCCGAUCAUACUUUUCUUCCUAUCCAUCAUUAUACCGACGUCCAUCACUAAAAGCUUAUGCUGAGUCGCGAUGGUCUCUCUCGGGAUAACCUUUCAAUCCUCGCACAAACAUCUAUCACGCCUUCUAAGGAGAAGGUAGUCAAUCUUAGUCUUCACCACCAAACUUUGGAAAGUAACCAUGUGUUCCUCCCUUUUCAGAAAAGACGAGUUCGCAAUCACCAGCUCAUAAGCCUUGGCGGAGUCAAGCAGCGAGGUACCUCCUCUGUUCCUAACCCCCAGGCUGAAGCCAACAUGUACCUCGCCAUAGCCACCAGCAACUGACCCAAUAUGGCCAUUAAAAUCACCUCCAAUAAAUAAACUUUCAGUAGAUGGAAUAUUGCGCACAACCUCGUCCAAACCCUCCCAGAAAUGUCUCUUUACCUCCUCAUCCAAACCUGCUUGCGGCGCGUAAGCGCUCACUACAAUGAGGGUGCAAUCGCCAAUCACCAACUUAAUAAGCAUUAGCCUAUCGUUCACUCGCCUGACCUCCACCACAGACUCUCUAAGAUCCUUAUCCGCCAAGAUACCCACUCCAUUCUUACCCUUCACGACACCAUAGUAACACAACUUACACUCGUUCGCAUCCCGCGCCUUCGAUCCUUUCCACCUAGUCUCCUGGACACAAGCUAUAUUAACCUUGCUCUUCUGGAGAAUCUUUGCCACCUCAAUAGAUUUACCCGUCAACGAGCCUAUGUUCCAUGACCCGAUCCUCAAUCUACGAGCUCCAUCUUUUCCCUUACCCUUCUUGUCUCUCGUCCCAUCCACUGACCCUCUUCCUACCCCCGGCACCCCUCGAGGACAUGACCCUAAUCUACCAUCCCGAACCACAGCCAAUCUACCAAUGACAAACUCCAAAAAACUCUAAUACCAAGCUAGGAAAGAACAGAAAGCGAUUGCAAGUUUCUAAUAAUAUGCUUGAAGUGAUGCCAACCAAAUAGUCACAACUUAACAAGUAUAAGGAAAGAGAUAAGAAAGCGGGAGGUACCAACUCCCGAUGGGAAGAACCUAGAAAUAUAACUUGACGUCGGUUACCGCCACGCUCCACCACUUUCGCAAGUUGCAACUAUUGAAAUUUCCGCCUCCGUUAACCCUAAGCACUUUUUGGUUGACCUAUGGAACGAACAAGGAGACGAAAAAGAAAAAUCCGGUCCCGUUGCCUCUACUGCCACUGAUCGUUGGGCAGCAGGAUUCACCGGGAAGUCAAAAGAGAAGAGAGGGGGUGGGUGGAGGAAUAGGGGGGAAUCGGUGGGGAACUGGGAGGGGAAAGCGAGAGAUGAUAUGGGAGAUAGAGGGACAUAAAGGAUGGAGAAGUUCCGUCGCCGGUGGUUGCCGGGAAGCUGCUGUAGCCGGGUCGCUACAGUAUUUAGGGCAGAAAGCAAAGAAAAAGCAAGAGAUGGAGGGGGAGAGAAGAAAGGAAGGAGAGACGAGAAACGAGGAUGGGGUGGGGGAGGGAGGGGAACUUACCUGUGGCUCGCCGGAAAAGGAGCACCGGAGAGAGUCGCCAAAUGUGUCGCUGGCGUUCUUGGUCGACGAAGAAACAAAGGGACGUUGAGAGAAAAGUAACCGUUGGAAGUCUAGUGUUUUUGCUAGAGAUAAAAACUGAGUCAUGUAUACUAAUAACAAAAUUUUAUUUUUAUUUGUCACUUUACGCAUAUUAAGAGGAGUUAUUUUUUUUUUGUUCCUGUUAUAUCCACAUUAUUUAUUAUUCAUUUCAAAUUAUUUUUUCAAAUUCAAUAAAAUAUGCAUCAAUUAAUAUGAGUAUUAUGGUAAAUUAUGUACUGCAUUUAUUAAUUCUUAAAAGGCGUGAAAAGUCAAAACGUGAAGGGAGUAGUUAAUAUGGACCAGCUGAUCUGCCCACGUCAAAAGUAGAAUUAUAAAUUUGAAGAAUCUGCGCAGAAAAUGUCUCUUUCAUUACUUGUACAAAUUGGGGGCCGUGGGCUUUUUCUUUUUUUAAAUCUUAUUUUAGGGUGAAUAUAAACAGUUUAACUACUUUGUACAAAUAUUGAUAGGAUGCGAAAGGUAUUUUGAAUGUGAUUUAGCUUGUACAUUGAGCAUGAGUGUGGAACAAAAGGCGUAUCGCUGUCUUUAUCCGACGAUGCUCCUUCUUUUGGAUUAUUCAAAUUCUGCCUCCGGUAUUUUAUCGCUUGAGCCUGACUUUGUUCUUCAUCUUGCACACCGCCUGCGAAUCACUAAGGGAUCGUUUGGCAUGAGGUAUAAGAAAUAUAAUAUUUGUAUUAGGUAAAUUUAGUUCCUCACGCCUAUACACUAUCCGCAUACGGCCUUACUAAGGAAGGCGGCCUUGGUAAGGUCGGCUCAAGUAAGGCCGGCCACAAUCAACAAACGGGCAGAGUGACAUGACUUGCUGCAACGUCAUAUCAAGCUCUGACACUCAUAUAUCGAGGCCACCAACUCUUGUACUAUCUUUGUAUUAUUUCGAGGAAGGCCCCUUAGUAUAUAAAGGGGACCUUCCCUUUAUAAAGAUUCAUGUGUAUUUUCAUUGCUGAUAAUAUACAACUCUCUCUACCUUUCUUGUGCUAAAUCUACUAUUUACCUUAUUGCUUUUAUCCUACAAUCUCUAGAUCAUAUUACAUUUGAUUCCGAUUAACCCAAAUCAUUUUUUGAUUGUUUUUAGAGCUACAUAAGUGUUCGAAUAACUUAUUAGCAAAACAAUUUGGCGCCGUCUGUGGGGAUUUCGAGAAUCGAAACUAUAGUUUGAUUCUAGAGAUGUUUCGGAAAACCACUCUCUACAACCUAAAAUGGCUGAAAACGAUGCAAGAAUGAAAGCUAUCUUAGAGGUUCCGAAAAUUAGAGCUGUAGUUUGUUCUAGAGAUCCUUCGAAAAACCACUCUCUAGAACCUAAAAUGGCUGAAAACGAUGCAAGAAUGAAAGCUAUCCUAGAGGUUACAACAGAUCUCACAGGCAAGCUCAACGCGGUUGCUGAAGAAAAUGUCUUACACGCAACCCCCAGUACUUUGAUAGGCAUGGAAACCCUACCUUCCUCGUCGGAAGAUCUGGUUGUUCCACGAGAAAGAGAGGCUUCAACAUCUACGACAAAAGGAGCACCCCCGGAGGUAAAAAGUUACUAGAAGAGUAGGUAACGUACACUCUUAGUAGUCUAGUCAAGAGGCCACCUCAAAGUAAUAAACGCACCCCAGCAGCAGAUCAUGUCGCACCUGAGGAUGAGCUUGAAGUUACAAGAACGAAUAACGUGGCCGUCGAUGUUCAAGCCAACGACGGCACGCUCACAGCCAUCCUCCUAAAGAUGAAAGAAAUAGAAAAUGAGAACAGGUUGCUUCGCGACCAGAUGAAGAAGCACCAAAAAGGGUUGAUAAAAUCCCGGGUGCACCUAAACUAUUACCAUGGAAUUAUACUAGAUAUAUUAUUAUUGGAAUAUAAAUGUGUAAUCCCACUUCGUUUAUGCAUUUGGUGAACAUAAAAAAUGAAAUCAUAAGUUGGAUGAACACCCAACGUAACUUUUCAACUUAUAAUCACUUUUAAUUUGAUAAAAAUUUUUAUUACUAUUUCAUCCCUAAAAUGUUUUCUAAAUUUCAAAAAUACCCUUCCUAAAGUGAAAUCCAUAACUGUCUCUGUUCAUUUCUGUCAUUCAUCCUUCUCCUUGUAAAGAUAAUUUUUAAUCUAUACUCUAUUAAACUUUAAACAUUUAGGCUUUUUAGCUGGGAAGGUUUUUAUUAAACACUUUUUAUCAGGCAUAUUAACUGUUUAAAUACAUUGUUUAUACCCAAAUACAGUAAUAUUUAUUUAUGAAAUUAAUUUUUAAUAUUUAAAAUUAUUUUCAACCUUUAGAUGUUUAUAGUGAGUGUACGCUCAAUCAACCAAACAGAAAGGUUUCUAGGUGAGAUUUGUUGUAUAUGAAGAUUAGGGGUGUGCCUUCGAUCUAUCGAUUCGAUUUUGACCCUUAUCGAUAAUUACUUAUCGAUUAUCGAUUUGUACAUAUGUCUAUCGUCAUCGUUUUAAUAAGGUUUCGAUUUUUUCGAUUUCGGUUACACAAAUAAGAAAAUUUGUGGCAUUCCUCGGAAAGUAUAUCGCUAUAAAACACGCCUAACUAAUAUAGACAAAAAGAAGCUAAAAUAAGACGAACACCGUUUAUAACAUAAAAAUUGUGUCAACAUGCACGUGCAACGAAACUAAAUUAAGGGAUCAAAUGGAUGUCACCAACACUCCAACAGUAUUACAAAAAAUAAAAAUACAUCAUCACUGCUAAUUCUAUUUUCCAUUAAUUUGAACUCCAUUCCCUUUAGCUUUAAAUAUGAUCAUUCCUUAAAUGUGGUAGAUGAAAUAAGCAGGAGUGUGCAUUCGAUUUAUCGAUUCGAUUUUGACCCUUAUCGAUAAUUACUUAUCGAUUNNNNNNNNNNNNNNNNNNNNNNNNNNNNNNNNNNNNNNNNNNNNNNNNNNNNNNNNNNNNNNNNNNNNNNNNNNNGUACAUAUGCUUAUCGUUAUCGUUUCAAGAUGUCACCAACACUCCAACAGUAUUACAAAAAAUAAAAAUACAUCAUCACUGCUAAUUCUAUUUUCCAUUAAUUUGAACUCCAUUCCCUUUAGCUUUAAAUAUGAUCAUUCCUUAAAUGUGGUAGAUGAAAUAAGCAGGAGUGUGCAUUCGAUUUAUCGAUUCGAUUUUGACCCUUAUCGAUAAUUACUUAUCGAUUAUGGAUUUGUACAUAUGCUUAUCGUUAUCGUUUCAAGAAGGUUUUGGUUUUUUCGAUUCGAUUUAUCGAUGAAUCGAUAACAAAUAAUCGAUUCGAUUUAUCGAUUAACCGAUUCGAAUGCACACCCCUAAUUAAGAUAGCACCACCAGUAUAUAGUAAAAGGUGUCCCGACACAAUAUUCUACCAGAUCAGUACUGACGCCUAAUACUUUUUCUAGGCAAGCCAAUAACAAAUAUGAAGAAAUAAGCUUCAAUAACGAUAUGACUAAUCUCAUAUAGUCGAAUAACAUAAAUAACUGAAGUCAAAUGACGGUACAACAGAAACCACCCUAAAAUAUGGUAUUACCGAAUACAUAAUCUCUAUAGAGUAUUAAAUACAAAGUCCAAUAAAAUAUAAUAAUAUCUAAAAGACAGAACAAUAAUAACAUGAUAUAAAAAAAGGAAUUCAAGGCCUGCGAACGGAACAACAAUGCUACAUCGAAAUCUCUAACAAAAUCAUAUGCGACAUAUUACAACCACCACGGUUAACAACACAUGCAUCUGUACGUGAAUUGAAUAGAGUAGUAUGAGUAAAACCAACUCAAUACACCAAAUAAAUAACAAGCCUAACCUCGGUUAAAAGUAAUGACGAGCUUGGAAAGGUCCAAUACUCACUUCGACAAUCAAAAAAAACAUAAUAGUAGAAUAAUGGCAAAGGAAAAAAACAUCUCAAAAAAUAUUAGGUUCAACUCUAUCACAAUAAGAGGUGAAAUAAGCAUGUUUUCAAGUAUAUCAAUCAAGGCAUCAACUUUUCAAGGAAAUCACCUAAAUAGGGAUUUAUCAAAGUAAAUUGUGAUUUCAAGUUGUAAACAUCAAAUACCAAUUAGCAUGAGGAAAAUAAUCUCUACGCUUACAGGAUAAGUAUAUAUGCCAAGUCAAAAACGUCAUAGUUUAAUCAUCAAGUAUACAAAAUCAUAGCAUAUUCAUAGUGCCUAGCACAAGUAAUCCUCAACCAUACUCUUAGUACUCUAACAAUGCUUGGCACAAUGUCCUUGUAUCAUCACAUACACACUCAACACGAUAAUGAUGCAUGAAUAAGUCCCUAAUUAAUUAACACAUCUCGUGUGCCUUCACGUACAUGUUAAUACCUGAUUUAGGAGGGAAAGAUCCUAGCCCAAGGAUGAUCGGAUCAAAAUAAACUUGAUCAACGAUCAAUAGCACCCAGCCCAAUAUAAGGCCUUGACACAAGCAUCACCUCAAUACCAAUAUCAAUAUGGCUCUAUGGCCCAAGCAAUGAUCAAUCUCCUCGAGUCUCUAUAUUCCAAACAUCCCACAAUACCAAUAAUUAGAAUACUGUACCAACAUGCUCCAACUCAGCUCAAACUCAUGUAAUACACGAUGACACUAAUAACAUAUGAGAUAACAUAUAAAAAGGUGCACAUAGGCAAAGAUAUAACACAGAUAUAUCAUAUUAUGACUUACAAUAUGACUGUAGUUAAGGAAAAUAGCUCAAUAUAGCAAAAGUAGCGCUAUCAUGUCUCAAACAGGUAAGCACAUAGCCUAGGCAUGAUUUCUAAUAUGGAUAAUAUCUCACAUAGUCAUACAAGUGGAUGAAAAACGAUAUCAAAGAGGCAUGAUAGCAAAAUAAGGAAUAUAAUAAACUUAAGUCUAAUUGGAUCAAGAACAAUCACGGUGCACGCAUAUACGCUCGUCAAUUCGCACAUGAGUCACCCCUAAAAUAUAAUAAAAUAUCAUAUCUAUCAGGAAAAAUACCCUCAAACCAAGCAUAGACAAUACCUCGAACGAGUGAGAAUUGAUGUUAGGAUAGGAGCUCAUGUGUUAGCUAUAUUUUGCACUCUAAUUACUACAAUUUGGUUGUGUUUAAUCCUAACUGUUAGUACUUUAUACUUAUUACAUCUGUUAUAUUGUGUAUGAUGUGAUUUUGAGUAAAGAAACAAGUUUGGAGCUAAAAUGGAUGAUUUGGAGCUUUGAUGUCUGAGCAGAAGCCUAAACAAUUAAGCCAGGAUCACAUUCGAGGAUCGAGGAAAUCUGGAUGUCAAAAGGUGAGAAAAAAUUAAUAUAAUAAAAUGCACUACCGCACCUCACCAUGCCACGAAGAGUGGGGCACCAUUGUAAGUUUCUUGCAGAGUGAAAAAAAGGCCUCUGAACUUUCCUUCUAACUAGUGCAAAUUUCCUGCAGAGUGGAUUUGAACUCUAAUGCUUCACGUGAAUUCGUCUAUGGAGCUUUGAAUUGGUUGCAAAUUUAUUCACCAAUUUAUUUAAAUGAAAGAGAAAUCAACAAUAACAAUAAUAAUAAAAACAAACCAGUAAAAAUUCCACAAGCGGGGUCUGGGAGGGUAGUGUGUACGCGGACCUUAUCCCAAUCCAAAGGGAGUAGAGAGGCUAUUUUCGGUAGCUCAAGAAGACGAAGAGAGAGAUAAUAUAUCAGUAUUAUCAACACAAAACAUUAUAAUAAUGAGAUCAAUAUAAGAACCAGAGGAUAUAUGCAAAUCACUAACAAUAAUUAGUAGAUAAGGUUUGACACAAAGAAAAACUAUAGAAUAGUGCGAAACAAUAUGAACCACUAGCAGUCUAAGAACAAGUUCUAUCAGACUAACCUCACACUUGUACAAAGUAGAACAAUUCCACUUCCUCAUAACCUACAACCCUAAUACUCGAUCUACACACCUUCUUAUCAAGGGUCAUGUCCUAAGAAAUCUGAAGCCACAGCAUGUCCUGUCUGAUCACCUCUCCCUAACACUUCUUUAGCCGCCCUCUACCUCUUCUCAUACCGGCCAAAACUCACCGCUCACACCUCCUUACUGGAGCAUCUGAGCUUCUCUUCCAUACGUGCCCAAACCAUCUGAUCCUCGCUUCCUGCAUCUUUUCAUUCAUAAGAGCUAUGCCAACCUUCUCUCGAAUAUCUUCAUUCCUAAUCUUAUAUAUCAUAGUGUUCCCACACAUCCACCUCAACAUUCUAAUUUCCGCUACUUUCAUCUUAUGGAUAUAUGAGUGCUUCACUUGCCAACACUCAGCCCAUACAACAUGGCAAGUCUAACCACCACUCUAUAAAACUUACCUUUGAGUGGUAUAGGCACUUUGUUGUCAAAUAAUACUCAAUAUGCUAGUCUACGCUCAUCCAUCCCACCCCUAUACAGUGUAUAACAACCCUUUUAAUCUCCCCAUCCCCCUGGAAAAUCGACCCAAGAUACUUGAAAUUGCCUCGCUUGGAGAUGUCCUAUGAUUCAAGCCUCACUUAUGUGCCCGCUUCCCUCGACUUCUCGCCGAACUUGCGCUCAAGGUAUUCUGUCUUAGUCCUGCUCAACUUGAAACACUUAGACGCAAGGGUCUAUUGCCAAUCCUCCAACCUCUAAUUAACGCCGCCUCACAUCUCAUUGAUCAAAGAUAUGUCAUUAGUAAUAACAUACACCAUGGCACCUCCCUUGAAUGUUCCGUAUCAGUUCAUCCAUAACCAAGGCAAAUAGGAAUGGUCUGAGCGCAUAUCCUUAGUGUAACCCUAUAAUAAUCGAAAAAUGCUCUGAUUCAUAUCUCACUGUCCUAACCCGAGUCUUAUCUCCAUAAUGCAUGUCCUUAGUUGCCCUAAUGUAGGCAACCGACACACCUUUGGCCUCCAAGCAUCUCCAAAGAACCUCUCUAGGUAUCUUGUCAUAUGGUUUCUCCAUAUUAAUAAACAGCGUGUGAAAAUCCUUCUUCCUAUCUUUUUACUACUCCCCGAACUGCCUAAUAAGGUGGAUAGCUUCCGUAGUCAAAUGACCCGGCAUGAACCCGAACUGGUUGUUCGAUAUAGACACAUUCCCCCCACUUUUGCCACCCUUUUCUAAGGAUAAGAAGAGGGUGGUAGGAAAAGGAAUGUUUUGGUGAUUAUAUUUACAUUAUAGUUUUUGGUUUAGUUCAGCUAUUUUUUUAACUAUGCAAAAGAGAUUAUUUAAUUAUUGAUUAAAUAAAACUAGGAGGAUAUUCGAAAGCCGUUUUCCUAAAGAGUAACCCAUUAACACAUUCUUUCAUAAUCUAUGGAGGACAAGAUGCGCGAAGCAAGACUCAAAUGGUUUGGGCACAUUCAUAGGAGGAACACAGAUGCACCAGUGAUGAGGUAUGAGCUACUGGAUGUUGUAGACACGAGAAGAGGUAGAGGGAGACCUAAGAAUAAUUGGGGAAAGGUGAUCAAUCAGGACAUGACGCGACUUAGGAUUUCUAAGGACAUGGACCUUGAUAGAGAAUUAUGGAGUUCUAACAUUAAGGUUGUAGGUUAGGCGAAGUUAUGAAUAUUUAUACAAUACACUAGAGUGAGACUAUCCAGUUAGGAGUUAGUUUUAGGAUGCUAGUGGUCAUCUAUUGAUGCAGGGCUUUAUCUGCUGGUUAUUAUUAUACCUUCCAUCUAUUUUCUAUUUAUUAUAUUGAUGUUAUUUUAAUAUUAUUCUAUUGCUGGUACUAAUAUAACAUCUCUUGUUGUUUUCUUGAGACGAGGGUCUCCUGAAAACAGCCUCUAUGCCCCUCAAGGUAAGAGUAAAGUCUGCGUAUAUAUUACCCUCCCCAGACCCCACUUGUAGAAUUAUAUGUCACUACCCAAACCCGGUCGUGAUGGCACCCAACCAUAACGCUAGGCAAGCCUAACCAACAAUUGCUCUCAUUUCAACAAUAAAUCUCAAAACCGACAAUUUAAGGAAAAAUAUAAUAGUUUUAGAAUAAUAAUCCAAUAUUUAUAGUAAAAUAAUACAGAGAGAUACGAAUAACUGAUAAAACACUCCCAUAAGAUCCGGGGUCACGAGUCUAGAGCCUCUAAUACAAACUAGAUAAAAAUAUCUGAACGAAAAUACACAAGUUUGGAAAUGUAUAAAUAUAUAUAACUAAAUAGGAAGAGUAGUCAGGUACUGCGAACGUUAAGCAAUUACCUCAACAACUUUGAUAAGCUCUGGAGACAAUGACUGAUCAGCUAAGCCUCCGGCGCACCUGAAUCUGCACACAAAGUGCAGGAAGUAUGGGUGAGUACUACCAACUCAGUAAUAAGUAUAUAAAAUGUCUGAAGAUAAGAAUCCACAAAAUGCCACAAAGUAAAGCUAAAACUAAUAGUCCGACACAUUAACUAUGAACCAACAACAAAACGUAUAUCAGUCAAGUAUAAUGCAAGGAUGCAAUGCAAUGCACAUGACCUGCUGCAGCGUACAACCCGAUCCAUUUAACAUCGACGACGCUCAUUAGGGGUGUGUACAGACUCCGGAGGGGCUCCUACAACCCAAGUGCAAUAUCAUCAUAUCAUCGUUGCAGCGUGCAGCCCAAUCCGUACUCAGUCAACAUUAUGCAUAUGAGUCAAAAAACAGAUUCAAUUAAAUUCUGAGUUUCCAAUUAUUAACGAAAUAUAACAUAGUUAUUUAACUUUAGGAAAAGUGAUUAAUCACAGGACUGAGAUCAAUGAUUAUACAAAUCAUGCUAUCACAACGAUAUCCUUCUUUUGAGGAUGCUACAAAUCGGCACAAGGCCCCAAACAUGGAAAUAAGUCCAGAUAUAUUCAAUACAAGGUGCGCAUCAGUCGCCAAUAUAGUAAAAUUCUUGUUCGGGAUGGACCAAGUCAUAAUCCCCAGUCAUAAAAAAACAACCCCGCACCUAUAAUGGGGUGCGAGUCACGCCCUAAUAUAGCGUCACAAUUGUGAGUACGUGAUUUUUGCUCUAUAUAUGAAUUAUUCUCCAAAAUUCAAUCAAAAGACUUUUUUUUUAUUUUUACAAUUUUUGUGAAUUUUGUGUCAUUUCCUGAUAAUGGUUGCAUUUUAUGCAUGCAUUUUAAUUCAUAAAAAUACAAAAAUGUCUUGAAUUUUUCAUUUAGGAAUUAACUUUGCAUUUUAGGAUUAAUUAGAAAAUUAAUUAUUUCAUAAAAUGGAAAAUCAAAAAUAUAUAUUUAAAUUGCAUUUUUGAUUUUGAGUGGUGUUUCUUUUAAAAUAAUUUUGACAAUUAUCAUUUAGGUUAGGAUUAAGAGUUAAUUUAGGUGUUAUUUUGAAAAGAAAAGGAGUUUUUAAUUUGAAAGGAAAAUAAAAGGAAUUAAAAAUAAGAAGAAAGUCAGAUUUGGGCCAUUACAGAUUAACUCCACCCAGGCCCAAACGAACCCCAUUCAAAUGGCCAGACCUGGCCCAGGUGCCCUCUAAACCUGGACCAAUUUCAGAUACGCGCGAAGCCCUAAUAUCUCAAGAGGAAACAAUUCUCACUGUUCAAGCAUCGUUCUCGAUCGGACCAAGCCCCAAUUCAGUCCAAAUUCAAGUGAGUGAAUCCAAACCCACAACCACGCGUUCCUCCUUCUCCCACAUCAGCAAGAUUCUAACGGCUUCUGACAUUUUUCCUCUCUCAUGUGCCGAUUUUAUUUGGGAAUAUCUGAAGAAUGAACUCCGAAAAAUGGAGCCAUGGAUUGAUUUGAGGAUCAAUCCUCUCCUUCCAUCUGUCAGGGUUCGUUCUAGAAGAAAUUUUCUUCCAGAUUUCUUGUGCAAAAAGGAAAAUUCGAGAGAGGUGUAUAUAUAUACUGAAGUCUGAUUGAGGUCGGGGAGGGG
This 32058-nucleotide long non-coding RNA is filed under the name Nicotiana benthamiana. RNAcentral's name for it is "long non-coding RNA (NBEN_LNC007071)". The record is from RNAcentral. Lineage: Eukaryota; Viridiplantae; Streptophyta; Magnoliopsida; Solanales; Solanaceae.